AUACGGAGGGGGCUAGCGUUGUUCGGAAUUACUGGGCGUAAAGCGCGUGUAGGCGGAUCGUUAAGUCAGGGGUGAAAGCCCGGGGCUCAACCCCGGAACUGCCCUUGAUACUGGCGAUCUAGAGUCCGGAAGAGGUGGGCGGAGUUCCCGGUGUAGAGGUGAAAUUCGUAGAUAUCGGGAGGAACACCAGUGGCGAAGGCGGCUCACUGGUCCGGCACUGACUCUGAGACGCGAAAGCGUGGGGAGCAAACAGGAUUAGAAACCCUAGUAGUCC
Molecule: ribosomal RNA, 274 nt
Filed under: uncultured bacterium
Lineage: Bacteria
Description: partial 16S ribosomal RNA
Rfam family: Bacterial small subunit ribosomal RNA
Source: RNAcentral